This 370-nucleotide unclassified non-coding RNA is filed under the name uncultured fungus. RNAcentral's name for it is "sequence contains ITS1". The stretch from base 1 to 107 matches the Rfam family "5.8S ribosomal RNA", at positions 50 to 154 of the family's 154-position model. Lineage: Eukaryota; Fungi. The record is from RNAcentral.
GAAAUGCGAUACUUGGUGUGAAUUGUAGAAUCCCACGAACCAUCGAGUCUUUGAAUGCAAGUGGCGCCCGAAGCCAUUAGGUUGAGGGCACAUCUGCCUGGGCGUCUCACGUUGCGUCACCCGAGCCCCCUCCUCCACCAAAGGGAAGGAGGGCUGCGGGCGGAUGUUGGCCCCACGCGCCCGCAUGUUCGGCCCAAAAACGAGUCCCCCGCGAUGGACGACGCGUCGCGAUGAGUGGUGGAUGACAAACCGUUGCAUUGGCUCGCGCGCGUCCUAGCCAUCUCGGGAGGCCUAUCGUGACCCUACCGCGCCGGCGCGAAGGCGUUCCGAUCGCGACCCCAGGUUAUGUGGGAUCACCCGUUGAGUUUAA